Molecule: long non-coding RNA, 726 nt
Filed under: Ictidomys tridecemlineatus (thirteen-lined ground squirrel)
Lineage: Eukaryota; Metazoa; Chordata; Mammalia; Rodentia; Sciuridae
Description: lncRNA (ENSSTOG00000030012.1)
Source: RNAcentral
AUGUCACUUUCCAAGAAGCCUGUUUCCCGGCCGGCCGACCUCGAAGGCCUCGCCACACUCGCUCACCAGACCGCGCUCACCGCUGCCUGGUAUUUUCUUGCUGAUCAGUUCACUAAUGGUCUGCUCCCUCCCCCAGAGCAGGGGCCUUGCCUGUCUUGUUCCCCGGGACAUUCGGGUGCCUGGAUCCUGGGCUCUGUAAGCGCCUGUGGACGGGACAUCGACUGCUACGGCCCGGGGAGGUUGGAGCCUCCAUCCCCACGGAGGAAACCGAGCCUGGAGAGGCUAAGGCCAGGCUCCUCCCGGGACACAUGGCAAGACCACGAGGGCACGUCGGUCCACCACGCUCCUGUCACCACUCCCUACGCCACUCAGGGUGACUGCCACCCCCAUGGCUCGGGCGUCACUUCAGGAGGGUGAGCAUCAGAGAUGGCGUGGAGCCUGCGGGGGACCGUGUGUCGGUCCCUUAGAUGCCACAGGGUUUUACGUAGGGCUGGGGCAUGGUGGGCUUUGGAACCUGCAGGGGACCAGGAACAGCCCCCUGGGAGACCCAAAUGACUGUCCCUCCUAAGGACAGUGUGCUCUGAAGCCAAGCCGCCAGUUUGAGUCCCACCUCUUUACUCCACAGCUGUGUGACACGCAGUUACUGUCCCCCAUGGGGACAAUGACGCACCCACCCCUAGGGUUGGAAGAAGGAUCAGUGAACCAGGACACGCCACGUGCCCACAG